Molecule: non-coding RNA, 46 nt
Organism: Schistosoma mansoni
Lineage: Eukaryota; Metazoa; Platyhelminthes; Trematoda; Strigeidida; Schistosomatidae
Source: Rfam
GCACUGUUGAGGAGUCCCACAAUAGGACGAAACGGUCGUUCAGUGC